Molecule: ribosomal RNA, 378 nt
Filed under: Prevotella sp.
Lineage: Bacteria; Pseudomonadati; Bacteroidota; Bacteroidia; Bacteroidales; Prevotellaceae
Description: bacterial SSU rRNA
Rfam family: Bacterial small subunit ribosomal RNA
Source: RNAcentral
CAAAUGAAGAGUUUGAUCCUGGCUCAGGAUGAACGCUGGCGGCGUGCCUAAUACAUGCAAGUCGAACGCUGGAAAUCUAGCUUGCUAGAUUGAAGGAGUGGCGAACGGGUGAGUAAUACAUAAGCAACCUACCCACGAAGACUGGGAUAAUCUCUGGAAACGGGGACUAAUACCGGAUAGGUAAUCGGAAGGCAUCUUCUGAUUAUUAAAGGUUAAAAACACUGGUGGAUGGGCUUAUGGCGCAUUAGUUAGUUGGUGAGGUAACGGCCCACCAAGACGAUGAUGCGUAGCCGGCCUGAGAGGGUGAACGGCCACAUUGGGACUGAGACACGGCCCAGACUCCUACGGGAGGCAGCAGUGGGGAAUCUUCCGCAAUGG